AUGCUCACUUUGGCAGCAUAUAUACUAAAAUUGGAAUGAUACAGAUUAGAAUGGCCCUUCAACAAAGAUUACAUGCAAAUUUAUAAAGUAUUCUGUAUUUGC
Small nuclear RNA from Sorex fumeus (smoky shrew), 102 nucleotides. The record is from RefSeq and is a predicted model, not a curated record. Lineage: Eukaryota; Metazoa; Chordata; Mammalia; Eulipotyphla; Soricidae.